Molecule: ribosomal RNA, 303 nt
Filed under: uncultured bacterium
Lineage: Bacteria
Description: partial 16S ribosomal RNA
Rfam family: Bacterial small subunit ribosomal RNA
Source: RNAcentral
AGCAGUCGCCGCGGGAAUACGUAGGGUGCAAGCGUCAAUCGGAAUUACUGGGCGUAAAGCGUGCGCAGGCGGUUUCGUAAGACAGAUGUGAAACCCCCGGGCUUAACCUGGGAAUUGCAGUGGAUACUGGGUCACUAGAGUGUGGUAGAGGAUAGUGGAAUUUCCGGUGUAGCAGUGAAAUGCGUAGAGAUCGGAAGGAACAUCUGUGGCGAAGGCGACUAUCUGGGCCAACACUGACACUGAGGCACGAAAGCGUGGGGAGCAAACAGGAUUAGAUACCCCUGUAGUCCCUGUCUCUUAUAC